This 329-nucleotide long non-coding RNA is filed under the name Populus trichocarpa (black cottonwood). Its description in RNAcentral is "long non-coding RNA (PTRI_LNC004828)". The record is from RNAcentral. Lineage: Eukaryota; Viridiplantae; Streptophyta; Magnoliopsida; Malpighiales; Salicaceae.
AUUUUUUGAAGGAAAAAAAAACAAUGAUACUAUAAUGGUAAAUAGUGAUAAGUGUAUAGAUUCGCAGUAAAUCUCCCUUCCGUUCUAGCUUCUUUUGAAUGGCCUGGAUAAAUUUCACAUUAUCCACAGUAACUCACUAUUUUCUCUCCUUCAAGCCAUGAAAGAGAAAAUGUGGUGUCCAGGGCAUGUACGUGUCUGGGUCUGUGAUAAUCAGAAAGAACCAAAAAUAUCUCGUUCGUGCCAAAAAAUUGGCAUACUAGUCAUAGAAGGCAAGAAAAAAGAAAGAUAGCCCAACCCUUUCUUCCUCUUCUUGUCUAUCUUCAUCACUG